CCGGUGCUUCCCUGCGGAGUGCGACCGUCCCGCACCGGCAUCUGCGGGAGCGGGACGUGGCGCUGUGAUUCCCGUUGCCCAUUGUAGUCUCCCGCAGGAUUCCGUGUUGAGAUCGUGGCACGUUCGCACCGCCCGGCUCUGACCGCUUGGCUCGCGCUCGACGGUCGCGUUCCCCCUGCUUGGUAUGCCCGCUGUGUCCCCCCACCCGGCAGCACACUGGUUUUGCGAUUCAUUCCUUGGCAUAGAAAUUACUUUGGAGUCUUAUUUUUCAUCACUAGAAUUAGCAGACGUGAGGCAGCUUUGUGCGGGCGUUCUGUAGGGAUUUCUACCAGCCGCAUCACCUGCACCAAGGCUCUGUCCUGCUUCUCCCUAUCCUAGUCCCGUUCCUUUCCUUGAGUCCAUCACCAUAUCCUUCAAGCAGGUGCCCAGUAUCCAGUGCAAAUAUCAAAGUUUUGGCCAGGAACUCCCUAGGUGUGGCAAUACCAGAUGAUAAUUCCUGCAUGAGCCUGUGAGGGUUUGGCUCUUUGAAAGGAGCUUCCAGAACCCCCAGGAAAAAACCAGAGGAAACAACUUGGUGUCUCUGGCAGGAAGAUUUGAUUCUCAGUCCCUAUGUCUGAAAAAAGCCUACAAUUACACCUUACCUAACAGAAAAGCUGUGAGGCUUGAUUAGUGUGUGCCUGGUGAAGUCUAUUGCACCAGCAAAGGAAGGAAUGAAGUGUCCCAAUAACUCUGCAUCCACCAGGUGCCGUGGCUGCCUUCAAGGGGACUCCUAAAAUUGUUUGGCUCUUGGAGGCUUUGCUUCCACGGAAGUUACAUCCUGCUUCCCAUCACCAUGUGGAAAGAAGGGCACCAAAGAUCAAAACAUAGCAGAAGGGUUCAGCAGAUAUUGGUUCUCAUGUCCGUAGGGACAUGUGGUGUGUCCUGUGGCACAUCACUCUUGCCCAUGUGUAGUGUGAGGGUAAGAGCACCUUGUCACCUCUGGAGGAUGCUCCAAGUUCCUUAGAGCUACCUAAGUGGGCAAUCACAGAGAGAUGCUUAUGAAGUGCACAACUCCAGACAUCCUGAGAUUGCAAGCAAUGAGGACUUUAUGUAUUAUUUUGAUGAUUAUAUGACAUUUAUAUUUCAAGAGUGAUCAGAUGUUCUAGAAAUUGUGCAAACUGAUAAAGUAAU
Long non-coding RNA from Neopelma chrysocephalum (saffron-crested tyrant-manakin), 1170 nucleotides. RefSeq lists it as uncharacterized. The record is from RefSeq and is a predicted model, not a curated record. Lineage: Eukaryota; Metazoa; Chordata; Aves; Passeriformes; Pipridae. The transcript is spliced from 3 exons.